GUAACCUGCCCUUGACUCUGGGAUAAGCCUGGGAAACUGGGUCUAAUACCGGAUAUGACCUUCCAUCGCAUGGUGGUUGGUGGAAAGCUUUUGUGGUUUUGGAUGGACUCGCGGCCUAUCAGCUUGUUGGUGGGGUAAUGGCCUACCAAGGCGACGACGGGUAGCCGGCCUGAGAGGGUGACCGGCCACACUGGGACUGAGACACGGCCCAGACUCCUACGGGAGGCAGCAGUGGGGAAUAUUGCACAAUGGGCGCAAGCCUGAUGCAGCGACGCCGCGUGAGGGAUGACGGCCUUCGGGUUGUAAACCUCUUUCAGUAGGGAAGAAGCGAAAGUGACGGUACCUGCAGAAGAAGCGCCGGCUAACUACGUGCCAGCAGCCGCGGUAAUACGUAGGGCGCAAGCGUUAUCCGGAAUUAUUGGGCGUAAAGAGCUCGUAGGCGGUUUGUCGCGUCUGCCGUGAAAGUCCGGGGCUCAACUCCGGAUCUGCGGUGGGUACGGGCAGACUAGAGUGAUGUAGGGGAGACUGGAAUUCCUGGUGUAGCGGUGAAAUGCGCAGAUAUCAGGAGGAACACCGAUGGCGAAGGCAGGUCUCUGGGCAUUAACUGACGCUGAGGAGCGAAAGCAUGGGGAGCGAACAGGAUUAGAUACCCUGGUAGUCCAUGCCGUAAACGUUGGGCACUAGGUGUGGGGGACAUUCCACGUUUUCCGCGCCGUAGCUAACGCAUUAAGUGCCCCGCCUGGGGAGUACGGCCGCAAGGCUAAAACUCAAAGGAAUUGACGGGGGCCCGCACAAGCGGCGGAGCAUGCGGAUUAAUUCGAUGCAACGCGAAGAACCUUACCAAGGCUUGACAUGGACCGGACCGCCGCAGAAAUGUGGUUUCCCCUUUGGGGCCGGUUUACAGGUGGUGCAUGGUUGUCGUCAGCUCGUGUCGUGAGAUGUUGGGUUAAGUCCCGCAACGAGCGCAACCCUCGUUCUAUGUUGCCAGCGGUUCGGCCGGGGACUCAUAGGAGACUGCCGGGGUCAACUCGGAGGAAGGUGGGGACGACGUCAAAUCAUCAUGCCCCUUAUGUCUUGGGCUUCACGCAUGCUACAAUGGCCGGUACAAAGGGUUGCGAUACUGUGAGGUGGAGCUAAUCCCAAAAAGCCGGUCUCAGUUCGGAUUGGGUCUGCAACUCGACCCCAUGAAGUCGGAGUCGCUAGUAAUCGCAGAUCAGCAACGCUGCGGUGAAUACGUUCCCGGGCCUUGUACACACCGCCCGUCAAGUCACGAAAGUUGGUAACACCCGAAGCCGGU
RNAcentral lists this ribosomal RNA (1297 nucleotides) under Arthrobacter sp. FMS_60mD16. RNAcentral's name for it is "bacterial SSU rRNA". It matches the Rfam family "Bacterial small subunit ribosomal RNA", at positions 121 to 1431 of the family's 1533-position model. The record is from RNAcentral. Lineage: Bacteria; Bacillati; Actinomycetota; Actinomycetes; Micrococcales; Micrococcaceae.